AACGAACGCUGGCGGCAUGCCUAACACAUGCAAGUCGAACGGGUACCUUCGGGUUCUAGUGGCGCACGGGUGCGUAACGCGUGGGAAUCUGCCCUUGGGUUCGGAAUAACUCAGCGAAAGCUGUGCUAAUACCGGAUGAUGUCGAAAGACCAAAGAUUGAUCGGCCGAGGAUGAGGCCGCGUUGGAUUAGCUAGUUGGUGGGGGAAAGGCCUACCAAGGCGACGAUCCAUAGCUGGUCUGAGAGGAUGAUCAGCCACACUGGGACUGAGACACGGCCCAGAAUCCUACGGGAAGCAGCAGUGGGGAAUAUUGGACAAUGGGCGAAAGCCUGAUACAGCCAUGCCGCGUGAGUGAUGAAGGCCUUAGGGUUGUAAAGCUCUUUUACCCGGGAUGAUAAUGACAGUACCGGGAGAAUAAGCUCCGGCUAACUCCGUG
RNAcentral lists this ribosomal RNA (435 nucleotides) under uncultured bacterium. RNAcentral's name for it is "partial 16S ribosomal RNA". It matches the Rfam family "Bacterial small subunit ribosomal RNA", at positions 29 to 507 of the family's 1533-position model. The record is from RNAcentral.